CCUACGGGAGGCAGCAGUGAGGAAUAUUGGUCAAUGGACGAGAGUCUGAACCAGCCAAGUAGCGUGAAGGAUGACUGCCCUAUGGGUUGUAAACUUCUUUUAUAUGGGAAUAAAAUGUUCCACGUGUGGGAUUUUGUAUGUACCAUAUGAAUAAGGAUCGGCUAACUCCGUGCCAGCAGCCGCGGUAAUACGGAGGAUACGAGCGUUAUCCGGAUUUAUUGGGUUUAAAGGGAGCGUAGGUGGAUUGUUAAGUCAGUUGUGAAAGGUUGCGGCUCAACCGUAAAAUUGCAGUUGAAACUGGCAGUCUUGAGUACAGUAGAGGUGGGCGGAAUUCGUGGUGUAGCGGUGAAAUGCUUAGAUAUCACGAAGAACUCCGAUUGCGAAGGCAGCUCACUGGACUGCAACUGACACUGAGGCUCGAAAGUGUGGGUAUCAAACAGGAGUAGAUACCCCUGUAGUC
RNAcentral lists this ribosomal RNA (460 nucleotides) under uncultured bacterium. RNAcentral describes it as "partial 16S ribosomal RNA". It matches the Rfam family "Bacterial small subunit ribosomal RNA", at positions 338 to 795 of the family's 1533-position model. The record is from RNAcentral.